This 484-nucleotide ribosomal RNA is filed under the name uncultured bacterium. RNAcentral's name for it is "partial 16S ribosomal RNA". It matches the Rfam family "Bacterial small subunit ribosomal RNA", at positions 30 to 507 of the family's 1533-position model. The record is from RNAcentral.
AUUGAACGCUGGCGGCAGGCCUAACACAUGCAAGUCGAGCGGAUGAAGGGAGCUUGCUCCUGGAUUCAGCGGCGGAUGGGUGAGUAAUGCCUAGGAAUCUGCCUGGUAGUGGGGGAUAACGUCCGGAAACGGGCGCUAAUACCGCAUACGUCCUGAGGGAGAAAGUGGGGGAUCUUCGGACCUCACGCUAUCAGAUGAGCCUAGGUCGGAUUAGCUAGUUGGUGGGGUAAAGGCCUACCAAGGCGACGAUCCGUAACUGGUCUGAGAGGAUGAUCAGUCACACUGGAACUGAGACACGGUCCAGACUCCUACGGGAGGCAGCAGUGGGGAAUAUUGGACAAUGGGCGAAAGCCUGAUCCAGCCAUGCCGCGUGCGUGAAGAAGGUCUUCGGAUUGUAAAGCACUUUAAGUUGGGAGGAAGGGCAGUAAGUUAAUACCUUGCUGUUUUGACGUUACCAACAGAAUAAGCACCGGCUAACUUCGUG